UACGUAGGCAGCGAGCGUUGUUCGGAAUUACUGGGCGUAAAGAGUGUGUAGGCGGUGCUCUAAGUCUGUCGUGAAAUCUCCCGGCUUAACUGGGAGGCUGCGGCGGAAACUGGUGUGCUAGAGGGUGGGAGAGGUAAGCGGAAUUCCUGGUGUAGCGGUGAAAUGCGUAGAUAUCAGGAGGAACACCUGCGGUGUAGACAGCUUACUGGACCACUUCUGACGCUGAGACACGAAAGCGUGGGUAGCAAACAGG
RNAcentral lists this ribosomal RNA (253 nucleotides) under uncultured bacterium. RNAcentral describes it as "partial 16S ribosomal RNA". It matches the Rfam family "Bacterial small subunit ribosomal RNA", at positions 524 to 776 of the family's 1533-position model. The record is from RNAcentral.